RNAcentral lists this ribosomal RNA (742 nucleotides) under Distirogaster tarsalis. RNAcentral describes it as "SSU rRNA". It matches the Rfam family "Eukaryotic small subunit ribosomal RNA", at positions 503 to 1158 of the family's 1831-position model. Lineage: Eukaryota; Metazoa; Arthropoda; Insecta; Hemiptera; Reduviidae. The record is from RNAcentral.
CCGUAAUCGGAAUGAGUACACUUUAAAUCCUUUAACAAGGAUCCAUUGGAGGGCAAGUCUGGUGCCAGCAGCCGCGGUAAUUCCAGCUCCAAUAGCGUAUAUUAAAGUUGUUGCGGUUAAAAAGCUCGUAGUUGGUUCUGCGUGCCGCGCUGUCGGUUCGCCGCCUGUCGGUGUUACUGGCAUGUCGCGGCAUGUCCUGUCGGUGGUGAAUGGAAUCCCCGGUGCUACGUAGGCUUUUAUUAGCUGAAGUUUGUACCGUGGUGAAUUCAUUUGCCGAUUUCUCCUACUCCGGUGCUCUUAAACGAGUGUCGAGGUAGGCCGACACGUUCACUUUGAACAAAUUAGAGUGCUUAAAGCAGGCUGAAAUAUCUGCCUGAAUAGUGGUGCAUGGAAUAAUAAAAUAGGACCUCGGUUCUAUUUUAUUGGUUUUAGGAAUAUGAGGUAAUGAUCAAUGUGGACUGGCGGGGGCAUUCGUAUUGCGACGUUAGAGGUGAAAUUCUUGGAUCGUCGCAAGACGCACUAGAGCGAAAGCAUUUGCCAAGUAUGUCUUAAUUGAUCAAGAACGAAAGUUAGAGGUUCGAAGGCGAUCAGAUACCGCCCUAGUUCUAACCAUAAACGAUGCCAGCCAGCGAUCCGCCGAUGUUCCUUUAAUGACUCGGCGGGGAGCUUCUACCCGGGAAACCAAAGCUUUUGGGUUCCGGGGGAAGUAUGGUUGCAAAGCUGAAACUUAAAGGAAUUGACG